This 67-nucleotide transfer RNA is filed under the name Metapenaeus intermedius. Its description in RNAcentral is "tRNA-Thr". It matches the Rfam family "tRNA". From Rfam's summary of the family: Transfer RNA (tRNA) molecules are approximately 80 nucleotides in length. The record is from RNAcentral. Lineage: Eukaryota; Metazoa; Arthropoda; Malacostraca; Decapoda; Penaeidae.
GUUUUAAUAGUUUAGAAAAAACACCGGUCUUGUAAAUCGGAAUCGAAGAUCUUAUCUUCUUAAAACA